GACGAACGCUGGCGGCGUGCCUAAUACAUGCAAGUAGAACGCUGAAGGAGGAGCUUGCUUCUCUGGAUGAGUUGCGAACGGGUGAGUAACGCGUAGGUAACCUGCCUGGUAGCGGGGGAUAACUAUUGGAAACGAUAGCUAAUACCGCAUAAGAGUAGAUGUCGCAUGACAUUUGCUUAAAAGGUGCAAUUGCAUCACUACCAGAUGGACCUGCGUUGUAUUAGCUAGUUGGUGAGGUAACGGCUCACCAAGGCAACGAUACAUAGCCGACCUGAGAGGGUGAUCGGCCCCACUGGGACUGAGACACGGCCCAGACUCCUCCGGGAGGCAGCAGUAGGGAAUCUUCGGCAAUGGACGGAAGUCUGACCGAGCAACGCCGCGGGGGUGAAGAAGGUUUUCGGACCGUAAAGCUCUGUUGUAAGGGAAGAACGAGUGUGAGAGUGAAAGUUCACACUGUGACGGUAUCUUACCAGAAAGGGACGGCUAACUACGUG
This 494-nucleotide ribosomal RNA is filed under the name uncultured bacterium. Its description in RNAcentral is "partial 16S ribosomal RNA". It matches the Rfam family "Bacterial small subunit ribosomal RNA", at positions 28 to 507 of the family's 1533-position model. The record is from RNAcentral.